ACGGAAGGCAGCAGUGGGGAAUAUUGCACAAUGGGGGAAACCCUGAUGCAGCGACGCCGCGUGAGCGAAGAAGUAUUUCGGUAUGUAAAGCUCUAUCAGCAGGGAAGAAGAAAGUGACGGUACCUGACUAAGAAGCUCCGGCUAAAUACGUGCCAGCAGCCGCGGUAAUACGUAUGGAGCAAGCGUUAUCCGGAUUUACUGGGUGUAAAGGGAGCGUAGGCGGUGCUAUAAGUCUGAUGUGAAAGCCCGGGGCUCAACCGCGGGACUGCAUUGGAAACUGUAGGACUGGAGUGUCGGAGGGGUAAGUGGAAUUCCUAGUGUAGCGGUGAAAUGCGUAGAUAUUAGGAGGAACACCGGUGGCGAAGGCGGCUUACUGGACGACAACUGACGCUGAGGCUCGAAAGCGUGGGGAGCAAACAGGAUUAGAUACCCUGGUA
This 437-nucleotide ribosomal RNA is filed under the name uncultured Shuttleworthella sp. Its description in RNAcentral is "bacterial SSU rRNA". It matches the Rfam family "Bacterial small subunit ribosomal RNA", at positions 341 to 792 of the family's 1533-position model. Lineage: Bacteria; Bacillati; Bacillota; Clostridia; Lachnospirales; Lachnospiraceae. The record is from RNAcentral.